AUUGAACGCUGGCGGCAUGCCUUACACAUGCAAGUCGAACGGUAACAGGUUAAGCUGACGAGUGGCGAACGGGUGAGUAAUAUAUCGGAACGUGCCCAGUCGUGGGGGAUAACGUAGCGAAAGCUACGCUAAUACCGCAUACGAUCUACGGAUGAAAGCGGGGGAUCGCAAGACGUCGCGCGAUUGGAGCGGCCGACAUCAGAUUAGGUAGUUGGUGGGGUAAAGGCUCACCAAGCCAACGGUCUGUAGCUGGUCUGAGAGGACGACCAGCCACACUGGAACGGAGACCCGGACCAGACUCCGACGGGAGGCAGCAGUGGGGAAUUUUGGACAAUGGGCGCAAGCCUGAUCCAGCAAUGCCGCGUGCAGGAAGAAGGCCUUCGGGUUGUAAACUGCUUUUGUACGGAACGAAACGGUCUGGGUUAAUACCCCGGGCUAAUGACGGUACCGUAAGAAUAAGCACCGGCUAACUACGUGCCAGCAGCCGCCGUAA
This 493-nucleotide ribosomal RNA is filed under the name uncultured bacterium. RNAcentral describes it as "partial 16S ribosomal RNA". It matches the Rfam family "Bacterial small subunit ribosomal RNA", at positions 30 to 523 of the family's 1533-position model. The record is from RNAcentral.